CAACAUAUAAUUCAUAUAGGAAGAAAUAAAAAUCUUACAAUAUUUUAAUAAAUAUUCAAACUGAAAACGAUCUUAAAUUUCAAAUAAUGUAUCAAACCUCAUAAAUAUAUUAAUUUAUUUUGUCAGUUGCAGGAAUUCUUCUUUCUGAAUGAGAUGUAUGUAUGUAUGAUGUAUGUAUUUAUGUUUUCCUUAGUGCCGUUUAUAUUUAGGUUAGGAUUGUUUAAGGAUAUGAAUGUAAAUAAAUAACAAAUAACUUUUUCCUUUGCAAUAUUAUUAUGAAAGCAGCGAAAGCUUACCUGUUGUUGUUAAAUGGGCAUAAAGGAUUGCUUAGCUUCAUAACAACAUAAUUAGGAGAAAUAUAUAUUCAAAACUACUUAAAAGAUGAUGCUUACAAUAAAAAUCGGUUUUUAGUGCAAAUUAAUCCUUUUUUUUUAUUUCGCCUUAAAAUGUCAUAACUACAUUUUCGUAACAAAUAUGUGACCAAAGUAUAAUAUCUCAAUACAAAACUACCUACUUGGUAUAAAAUAACAAGAGGUACAAGUUUUAGGUGAGAAGAAUAUUUCAAAUCUCAAGUCUCUUCUGUUAUGGUUCCCAUUUAUAGAGAAUUAUGAUCGACAGCUUAUCGUUCGUUUUAUACACUAGGCUCAAAGAUUUUCACUAAAAGAGAAACUAAUCUAAACACUGAUCCUAUGUUUUCCCUUCUAAUAACAAUCUUCCACCUACUAUACAGCUUUUCACAUUGGUAUGUAAUGGCGACCUGAAUUAUGCAAUUUUAUCUUAGAAAAGACAAAUAAUGUAUACAUGCAUUGGUUUUUGUUUUAUUUUUAGAAUUAGAAUAGAUAAUAUAAUGAGAUCCACGCUAAGGAACAAGCAUGCAUGGAUAUUUCUUAAGUAUCCAAAACUACUGUCAAGUAUAAAAUAAUUUUAAAGGAGUAUAUCAAAUAAAUGAAUUCUAUUGAAUCGGAAAAAUUUUUAGGCGAAAGUAAAAAAUCAAUCGGUUCUUCUUGUAGUGAUAGAAAUACUAGGGGGCCCUGGGCGCAUAUUCUAUGAGGUAACGUGUGUUUAUAUAUUAUGUAUUUAGAUUCAAAAAUAAUUGUAAUGAUGACGUUGAAAACCAACACAUGUUGGCCUUUACUCGAUCUAUAUAAACAAUAACCAUUAAAUGAAAAACCUAUAUCGGUUAAUUAAAACAAUCAAUCAAUGCCAAUAACUUUUAUUUUAGUUAAACAAAGAAAUGUAUAUGUAAUAUCAUAUAUAUUCAAUGAAUAAAAUUAUAUCUUAUAAACAGGUCUCGUCUAUUGCGAGAGACAGCUACCAAGACUCCCGACAGAGCUGAAAUGUGACGAACUAAAAAUAAGGAAUGUGACAGUCCAAUUUACCAAGUAAUAAAAACCAUGUCUGGUACAUGACGUAACCGAGUCAUUCUUACCCACAGUAAGUCUAUGCUAAUGACAUCAUGUUACAUGAGAAAUUAAAAUAAAUAAUUCAAGCGGCUAUUUCAUCAAGACAUACACCUAUCUAGCAAUGAUUAUACGAUAAAGUGAUGAUAGCAUAAAAUUGGACCAUCCACAUUGCAUUCGGCUGUAAAAUA
Danaus plexippus (monarch butterfly) is the source of this 1591-nucleotide long non-coding RNA. RefSeq lists it as uncharacterized. The record is from RefSeq and is a predicted model, not a curated record. Lineage: Eukaryota; Metazoa; Arthropoda; Insecta; Lepidoptera; Nymphalidae. The transcript has 2 exons.